CUGCUGUGUCAAUAAAGUUUAUUCAAAGUCUCUCUGCGGCAUCAAUGGCGGCCCCCAUGACAUGGAGGAGGCUGGUGGUCUCCGUGUACUCGCCGGCCAUCACCGGGGUUUUCACACGAAUAUCUGACCGGCUUUUCCGCGCGCGGGACCGGAGAGGAGGGUCCUCGGUGCUGCUGCUGGCCCCCCUCCUGGCCGAGGCGGACCCGCCCCCCCGCCGGGUCCCCAGGCCCGCCGGGUCGACCGGCGCUCAGGGCUCCGGCGGCCUCUGCGCCCACUUCCAAUGGAUGGCGGAACACGUGCCGGCCUUCCGCGUGCCGGGCAACCGCAUCCACGUGCUCACCUCGCCCGACCACUUCUACCAGACCAUGAAGGCGCGGAUCAAGACGGCGAGGAGGCGAGUGGUGAUGGCCUCGUUGUAUCUAGGAACCGGUCAGCUGGAGCAGGAGCUGGUGGACUGCAUGGAGGAGGCUCUGCUGCGCUCGCGGGAGAACGCCGACGCCCCCGACCUGAAGGUCUCCAUCCUGCUGGACUACACUCGCGGCUCACGAGGACAGACCAACUCCAGGACCGUGCUGCUGCCGUUGCUGCGGCGCUUCGCCUCCCAGAUGAGGGUGUCUCUGUACCACACCCCGGACCUAAGGGGCCUGCUGCGCCUGCUGGUGCCGCAGCGCUUCAACGAGACCAUCGGCGUCCAGCACAUCAAAGUCUACCUGUUUGACGACAGCGUCAUCAUCAGCGGGGCCAACCUGAGCGACUCGUACUUCACCAACAGGCAGGACCGCUACGUCCUGCUGGAGAACUGCGGCGAGGUCGCAGACUUCUUCUCGGACCUGGUGGACGCCGUGGGAGACGUUUCCCUGCAGCUGCAGCCCGAUGACUCGGUCACCAUGCUGGACGGCAUGGUGCACCCGUACAAUGGCAACAGGCAGGCGUUCUCCGUGGCGGCGAGGAAGCGGAUCAUGGAGGUGGUGAACACCGCCCACGUGAGGCAGCAGCUGCUCAACGGGUCGCAGGACUCUGAGGACGACGGGGUGAGCGAGGAGGGGGACGACACCUGGGUGUUCCCUCUGGUCCAGAUGAAGCCUCUGGGGAUCCAGAUCGACGAGCAGGUCACGCAGCGCCUGCUGACCGACGCCGGUCCGGACUCGUCCGUGUUUCUAACGUCGGGUUACUUCAACCUGACGCGGCCGUACAUGCGAAUGGUGCUCGGGGCCGGCGCCAUCUACCGCAUCCUCACCGCCUCGCCCGAGGUCAACGGCUUCUUCGGGGCCAAGGGCGUCGCCGGCGCCAUCCCCGCCGCCUACACCCUCAUCGCCAGGCAGUUUUACGGCCAGGUGUGCCGGCAGGGGCAGCAGGAGAGGGUCCACCUGCACGAGUACCACAGAUCGCAGUGGACCUUCCACGCCAAAGGUCUGUGGUAUUACCUCCAGGGGCAGGAUCGGCCCUGCCUCACUCUAAUCGGCUCCCCGAACUUCGGUUACCGCUCGGUUCACCGCGACCUGGAGGCUCAGAUCGCCAUAGUUACGGGGAACGAGGAGCUGCAGGGCCGGCUGCAGGAGGAGCAGCAGACUUUGUACCAGCGGUCCAGCGAGGUGUCCGUCGCCACGUUCGAGCGGCCGGACCGCCACGUCAAGCUGUGGGUGAAACUGGUCACUCCGCUCAUCAAGAACUUCUUCUGAAGGACGCAACCAGGCGCAUCUGUUUUCAAUGGGAAAAUGCCUAAAACCACCUGCUCGGCACCAAGCUGACGGAGUCCAUUAGCAUCGGUUAGGGAGCGCAGCUGAAAAGCCGAGCGUAUCCUGGUGGAGACCAAAACCGAGCCAGAAGAAGAGUUAAUAAAUAGAAAAUUCCACUCAUGACUAUACAUGCUGCUGGUUGCCCGGGCCUCUCUAUGCUGACAAGUUUGCAAAUUCAAAGAAAAACAUGAAUAACUUCAUCCGUCAAUUAUAGCUGCUUUAAAAAAAAUUUAAAAAAGUUGAGCCAAAGAUUUAAAACCCCUAAACUGACAACCUGUAGUGUUGUGUUAAGUAGCGCCAAAUGGAAAUACUCAAGAAUAAUUUGAUGCACUUAUACUUUUAUAGAAAUGCAUUGCUGGUGUAAACGUGGUUUCCACCACUGGGUUCAGAGUUCUCCAUCAAGAAUACGAAUAUGACUGGAAUUUUCCUUUUUAAGCACGUUUUAGGUUCAUGCGUCGUCUCGCUGUUUUUUUGCUUAGUGGACAAAAUACAGCCCUGAACAUAUUGUACAGAAACACGCACACACAGACACGGACACCGGCUGUGGCUUCUUAGAAAUGCCUGCAGUCAUUGUGGUCCUCGGUCGCGUGCUCGUUUUACCAGCAGCCCGAAUCACCCAAAGGUGGAGCGCUGACGUCUGCUGACUUCCUCCCGUCGCCGUGUGAGUCGUCGCCGCGGUGACGGUGCGACCACGUGGUCUGUGCUACCGGGAGUCCGAUCAGGACUUGGCUGUGGACGGAUCAGAGGGGGUUUCAUCACGCCUGACACACACACACACACACUGUUGAAACGGCGGUAAAACGGUGGAAAAAAACACCAAGAUAUGUUGUUUUUCAUUCCUUAAACUAAUGGGCUGGACAAAAGGAGACGUCUUAACGUGUGCAGACCAAGAUUGCUGUGGUUGUAUUUUUUGUUUCUGAGAACAGGAAGUAUCACAUGCUCGACUCUUACGGUAAAUGGGUGUUGUCUUAACUUCACCUGGAUAGAGACAAGAGGGGGAGAAGAAAAAAGGAACGUCCGUAACCGAUCACCUUUCAGAGCUCCUCCGAGGACACGCAGGCCCUUUGUUGUAAACGUGAUGAGACGACCAAGAAGUCCUGGUUGUAUUUGCUCGAUAAACAUCUUGCAAACCUCUGGAUGACAGAACAGAAAAAUGAUGCAGCGACGGAGAGGUUGAAAACACUGUUCCGUAUUUUGCUGCUCUGUAUUUUUGGUUAAAUAUGUAUAUGAAAUAAGAACCUGUUAUUGUGACUUGUAUUUAAGGAUUUUUAGGAGGAAGCAGUGGGAUUUGGGGUCUUUACAUACAUUUUUAUAAACUUUGAGGAAACUCAUUCAAAAUACUUUUUUUGUGGUUUAUAGUGUAAUGUAAUCUUGAAUAUUCUGUAUCAUUUUAACAUCCACAGGAUGGAUUCUAAUCUUUUCAAAACCAGUUGUGGAAAAAACACAUCAGGUCUAAUUCUUCUUAGUCGGUGAGGUAUAGAUAAGAUUUUGUCUUUGUCAGGCUUUUCAGUUCAAUUAAAACAAAUGAAACCUUUGAAACAACUGAAUAAUAUAGACACUGUUGUGUUUGAUAGAAGGGGAAUAACAAUUGAAACACUUCUUUUUUUUUUUUUAAAUUGUAUAUGCUUUGUUUGUUCAAAUCAAAUCAAAUCAAAUCUGAUAUCUUGAAAGGACUCUUCUAAGGAAAACAAACAAACUACUGCAUGACUGCCUGAAUGCAGUCUUUUAGGUUUGCAGAGCAGACCAGUUACUCGUGUUUUAUAUCUGUAUGACAUCUGCGCUUACUGCUUAUCUCGCUUUAAUUUUUGUUCCCGACUAAGGAAGAAAACAAAACAACGCCCUCCCAACAACCACUUUAGCAUUCCCGGUCAAAAGUAACAACCUGUGCUGGAGUCUCACCAAACACGUCGCAGCGUCUCGUCUUCUCCCGUCACGUUGAAGCCUUGCGUCGAUGGAGCUGGGCGCCCUCUAGUGGCAGGGCUGCCGUUUCCCACUGGGGUCGCGUACCCUGAACUCACCACCGCUGCCUGUUGCGAGCUGAGCGCGCACGUGUUGUUAGAUAACCGGUCGGCCUCGAGCAUGACGAUAAACGCGUGAUCAGCGGAGUCGUGUAAGGAUUGUGACUGAUAAAAGGAAGAAGGAUUUUACGUGUUCUUGGGGUUGAAGGUCGAGUUGAUGGUGGCUUUUGAACAGGAGGGAGUCUGCAGUGUUCUUGGGGUUGAAGGUCAAUCUUCCUCCUGCAGAAGGGAAACGUCCUCUGCUUCAACAGUGGGUCCAGGAAGUGACUCACAACCAAGCAGAGAGGAUGGUUUGUUUUGAAUUUCGCUCAUCUGUUUCAGUCGCAACAUCUUCGGUCUUUACACUUGAGUUUUUUUGCUACAAGCGAGCGUUAUAAAACUACAGACAUUUAAAAAAAACACUUCUACUGCAUCACGUGCAUCUCCAGGUAGAUGCUGCAAAUAUUCGAUUGCAUGUGAAGGUAGAGAUUGGAUUGGUGAAGAAUUACGAUCCCUUAAGGCCUUACUACGUUUUGUAAGAGUAAUCAGUAAUCAGAGCCGGCCUGUACAGUGUGUGUUAUCUUUGUAUAUUAAAAGGAGGAGGUGGUGAGUUUUUACAAUAA
This is a non-coding RNA of Gasterosteus aculeatus aculeatus (three-spined stickleback), 4356 nucleotides long. The record is from RefSeq and is a predicted model, not a curated record. NCBI's taxonomy places the organism in Eukaryota, Metazoa, Chordata, Actinopteri, Perciformes, Gasterosteidae.